AUGCAGUACUGAUCCCUGGAAGGCGUAGAAGAGAUCCUCCACGACAAGGUGCGCGUGGACUGUCUCGACAGAACGCUUGAGCGUGGCCACACCAAGACUUUUAUCUACUGGCUCUCGGCAUGGGAUGUCGCCCACAUCCCCACCAAGCACAUGAUGUGGGUGCUGCCGUGCGGCGCUGGAAGGGUGGAGGAGAUGCAGGGCUUCUUACCGCCCGACCGCCGGGUGGCGCCGCCGCCCGGAGCAACGCGGUACGGCAUGCUCAUCCAUGUGGAUCGAGUCGAAGUUUGGUCCCCUCCUUCACCGCGUUCAUCGCACUCGGGGCAGAUCGGCUUGCCGUCUUCCAGCUCCGACGAGGGCGAUGCGCCGUUCCCCACGUGA
This 378-nucleotide ribosomal RNA is filed under the name Triticum aestivum (bread wheat). Its description in RNAcentral is "partial small subunit ribosomal RNA". The record is from RNAcentral. Lineage: Eukaryota; Viridiplantae; Streptophyta; Magnoliopsida; Poales; Poaceae.